ACGCUGGCGGCGUGCCUAAUACAUGCAAGUAGAACGCUGAAGAGAGGAGCUUGCUCUUCUUGAAUGAGUUGCGAACGGGUGAGUAACGCGUAGGUAACCUGCCUUGUAGCGGGGGAUAACUAUUGGAAACGAUAGCUAAUACCGCAUAACAAUGGGUGACACAUGUCAUUUAUUUGAAAGGGGCAAUUGCUCCUCUACAAGAUGGACCUGCGUUGUAUUAGCUAGUAGGUGAGGUAACGGCUCACCUAGGCGACGAUACAUAGCCGACCUGAGAGGGUGAUCGGCCACACUGGGACUGAGACACGGCCCAGACUCCUACGGGAGGCAGCAGUAGGGAAUCUUCGGCAAUGGGGGCAACCCUGACCGAGCAACGCCGCGUGAGUGAAGAAGGUUUUCGGAUCGUAAAGCUCUGUUGUAAGUCAAGAACGAGUGUGAGAGUGGAAAGUUCACACUGUGACGGUAGCUUACCAGAAAGGGACGGCUAACUACGUGCCAGCAGCCGCGGUAAUACGUAGGUCCCGAGCGUUGUCCGGAUUUAUUGGGCGUAAAGCGAGCGCAGGCGGUUUGAUAAGUCUGAAGUUAAAGGCUGUGGCUCAACCAUAGUUCGCUUUGGAAACUGUCAAACUUGAGUGCAGAAGGGGAGAGCGGAAUUCCAUGUGUAGCGGUGAAAUGCGUAGAUAUAUGGAGGAACACCGGUGGCGAAAGCGGCUCUCUGGUCUGUAACUGACGCUGAGGCUCGAAAGCGUGGGGAGCGAACAGGAUUAGAUACCCUGGUAGUCCACGCCGUAAACGAUGAGUGCUAGGUGUUGGAUCCUUUCCGGGAUUCAGUGCCGCAGCUAACGCAUUAAGCACUCCGCCUGGGGAGUACGACCGCAAGGUUGAAACUCAAAGGAAUUGACGGGGGCCCGCAC
This 911-nucleotide ribosomal RNA is filed under the name uncultured bacterium. Its description in RNAcentral is "bacterial SSU rRNA". It matches the Rfam family "Bacterial small subunit ribosomal RNA", at positions 33 to 926 of the family's 1533-position model. The record is from RNAcentral.